GACCCUAGAUCACACCUCCAGGAGACAGGAGACAACAUCUUAACACUUUUCACCAUGCAUCCUCCUCUUGAAUCAGAGUGGACUAUUUGUAACUUUCGCCAGGUGCAAUGUUGAAGAGGAACUCCCACCCUCGAAUGAACGGAGGAGACCUCCAUAAAUCCAGGGACUUGCACGGCAAAAGGCAUCUCAAAGACCAACUGUUGAUACCCUCUUGUUAGAGACAUACAGAGGUUAGGUGCCUGUCUCGAGGUCACAUGGCUAAGAUGCCAAAAUGGAAACUGAAAACCACAUUUUC
RNAcentral lists this long non-coding RNA (295 nucleotides) under Homo sapiens (human). RNAcentral's name for it is "non-protein coding lnc-CYYR1-1:2". The record is from RNAcentral. Lineage: Eukaryota; Metazoa; Chordata; Mammalia; Primates; Hominidae.